AGUUUUCUUUUUUUUUUUUUUUUGCCACAUAUUUUCUUUUGAUCUUCAAAAGUACAUGUUGGCCGAUAAAUUUAACCUUGGCAGCUGGAAAAAAGUGAGGCAAAUGGUUUUGAGAAGAUUGGAAAGUUAAGUUUACCCUUUUGGUUUGGCCUUCUGCUUAUCAAUUGGAUGUCUUUUUUUUUGGCUGCAGUGGAUGUAUUAAUGCAUUUCAAUUGUGGUAUAUAUGCUUACGCGCCAAAUAGCAAAUAGAUGGAUCUUCUUUAGCUGUAGUUUACUAUUAGGGAGGUGCUGCACGGUCAUAUUUAUUUCACAUUGCUUCUGCAUCAGAUUUGGCUAAUCCAAUAUAUAAUCCAUGACGCAGGAUGGCCAACCACCAUUGGGCUG
RNAcentral lists this unclassified non-coding RNA (384 nucleotides) under Hevea brasiliensis (rubber tree). The record is from RNAcentral. Lineage: Eukaryota; Viridiplantae; Streptophyta; Magnoliopsida; Malpighiales; Euphorbiaceae.